RNAcentral lists this transfer RNA (73 nucleotides) under Vibrio parahaemolyticus. RNAcentral's name for it is "tRNA-OTHER". The record is from RNAcentral. Lineage: Bacteria; Pseudomonadati; Pseudomonadota; Gammaproteobacteria; Vibrionales; Vibrionaceae.
GUCACUAUUAUUCGGUGGAAACCUCCCCUGAAUAAGGGACAGGUCGUAGGUUCGAAUCCUACUGGGGGCGCCA